ACUCUUGCAUGAUGAUCAAGCUUUUAUUUUAUACAGUUAUCCCUGUCUGAACUGUUUUUGUUGAUAAAGUCUAACUUCUGAUCGCUU
Molecule: small nucleolar RNA, 87 nt
Filed under: Ophiocordyceps sinensis
Lineage: Eukaryota; Fungi; Ascomycota; Sordariomycetes; Hypocreales; Ophiocordycipitaceae
Also listed under: 1 other name
Description: Small nucleolar RNA R38
Rfam family: Small nucleolar RNA R38
About the family: snoR38 is a C/D box small nucleolar RNA conserved across yeast, human, Arabidopsis and rice. It is encoded in the intron of elongation factor-1 gamma in both pombe and cerevisiae. snoR38 guides the methylation of 2'-O-ribose sites in 28S rRNA.
Source: Rfam by way of RNAcentral